AGAGUUUGAUCAUGGCUCAGAUUGAACGCUGGCGGUAUGCCUAACACAUGCAAGUCGAACGAGGUAGCAAUACCUAGUGGCGGACGGGUGAGGAAUACGUAUGCAAUCUACCUUUAACCGGUGAAUAGCCCGAAGAAAUUCGGAUUAAUACACCAUAGUAUAUUUAAGUGGCAUCACUUGAUUAUUAAAACUCCGGUGGUUAAAGAUGAGCAUGCGUGACAUUAGCUAGUUGAUGAGGUAAUGGCUCACCAAGGCUACGAUGUCUAGGGGAUCUGAGAGGAUUAACCCCCACACUGGUACUGAGACACGGACCAGACUCCUACGGGAGGCAGCAGUAAGGAAUAUUGGACAAUGGUCGCAAGGCUGAUCCAGCCAUGCCGCGUGAAGGAUGAAGGCCCUAUGGGUUGUAAACUUCUUUUGUACGGGAAAAAACCCUUUUACGUGUAGAAGGCUGAUGGUACCGUAAGAAUAAGGAUCGGCUAACUCCGUG
RNAcentral lists this ribosomal RNA (490 nucleotides) under uncultured bacterium. Its description in RNAcentral is "bacterial SSU rRNA". It matches the Rfam family "Bacterial small subunit ribosomal RNA", at positions 8 to 507 of the family's 1533-position model. The record is from RNAcentral.